This 1313-nucleotide ribosomal RNA is filed under the name Candidatus Dojkabacteria bacterium. Its description in RNAcentral is "partial 23S ribosomal RNA". It matches the Rfam family "Bacterial large subunit ribosomal RNA", at positions 1 to 1186 of the family's 2925-position model. The record is from RNAcentral.
AGAUUAAGCUACUAAGUGUAGAUGGUGGAUGCCUUGGCACAAAAAGUCGAUGAAGGACGUGAUAGGCUGCGAUAAGCUUCGGGAAGUUGCCAAUAAACGUUAUACCCGAAGAUGUCCGAAUGGGGAAACCCUUUCCGAUCAACUUGUUGAUCGGAAAACCCUGCAGUGAAUACAUAGCUGCUGUGGAGAUAAGCUGGCGAAGUGAAACAUCUCAGUAACCAGAAGAAAAGAAACCGAUAUGGAUUCCCUGAGUAGUGGCGAGCGAAAGGGGAAGAGCCCAAACCCUAAGAACAGGACGAUUUUUCCAAACCUGCGUUGUAGGUGCGGAAUUUGAGUCGUCAUUAUAGUGAUGGUUGUUUUAGGGGGUUGUAGAAUAAACCUGUUUCCAGACUAUAAUCUGGAAGAGUAAGUAAAAAAUCCUAUUGUUAGCAGAACAAGCCUGGAAAGGCAGAGCGUAGAGGGUAAUACUCCCGUAUGCAAAAACAAUUGGACUUGCUUGGGUUUAUUCUGAGUACUACGGCAUAGGUGAAAUUCCGUAGGAAUCAUCCCAAACCACUGGGAAAGGCUAAAUACUUUUUGUGACCGAUAGUGAACAAGUACCGAGAGGGAAAGGUGAAAAGCACCCCUGAGAGGGGAAUGAAAUAGUAUCUGAAACCAUUUACAUACAAACAGUUGGAGUACCGAUUUAUCGGUAUGACAGCGUGCCUAUUGAAGAAUGAGCCUGCGAGUUAAUCUAUAUGGCUGCCUGCCUGACGGCAGACAGGGUUAAGGUGUUUUGCACUGUAGCCAGAGCGAAAGCGAGUCUUAACGGGCGAAAUAAUAGUCUUAUAGAUUAGACCCGAAACCGUGUGAUCUAACCAUGAACAGGUUGAAUGCCGAUGAAAAUCGGCAGGAGGACCGAACCAGUAACUGUUUCAAAAGUUUUGGAUGAUUUGUGGUUAGCGGUGAUACGCCAAACGGACACGGUAAUAGCUGGUUCUCUCCGAAACAGCUUUAGGGUUGGCCUCGAUAUAUUAGCAGAUGGAGGUAGAGCACUGAUUGAGUCGUCGGCUCCGAAUGGAGUACUUCACUCUCUCAAACUCCGAAUGCCAUCUGUCCAAAAUCGGGAGUUAGACCAAGGGAUAUAAGUUCCUUCGGUCGAAAGGGAAACAGCCCAGAUCAUCAGUUAAGGCCCCUAAAUUCAUACUAAGUGGAAAAGGAGGUGAAAUUUCUCAGACAGCCAGGAGGUUUGCUUAGAGGCAGCCAUCCUUUAAAGAGUGCGUAACAGCUCACUGGUCAAGAGAUUUUGCGCCGACAAUUCAACGGGGCUCAAG